CUUUGGAAUAGAAGGUUUUCGGAUCGUAAAACUCUGUUGUUAGGGAAGAACAAGUACCGUUCGAAUAGGGCGGUACCUUGACGGUACCUAACCAGAAAGCCACGGCUAACUACGUGCCAGCAGCCGCGGUAAUACGUAGGUGGCAAGCGUUGUCCGGAAUUAUUGGGCGUAAAGCGCGCGCAGGCGGUUUCUUAAGUCUGAUGUGAAAGCCCCCGGCUCAACCGGGGAGGGUCAUUGGAAACUGGGGAACUUGAGUGCAGAAGAGGAGAGUGGAAUUCCACGUGUAGCGGUGAAAUGCGUAGAGAUGUGGAGGAACACCAGUGGCGAAGGCGACUCUCUGGUCUGUAACUGACGCUGAGGCGCGAAAGCGUGGGGAGCGAACAGGAUUAGAUACCCUGGUAGUCCACGCCGUAAACGAUGAGUGCUAAGUGUUAGAGGGUUUCCGCCCUUUAGUGCUGCAGCAAACGCAUUAAGCACUCCGCCCUGGGGAGA
This 492-nucleotide ribosomal RNA is filed under the name Bacillus licheniformis. Its description in RNAcentral is "bacterial SSU rRNA". It matches the Rfam family "Bacterial small subunit ribosomal RNA", at positions 400 to 881 of the family's 1533-position model. The record is from RNAcentral. Lineage: Bacteria; Bacillati; Bacillota; Bacilli; Caryophanales; Bacillaceae.